UGGGGAAUAUUGCGCAAUGGGCGAAAGCCUGACGCAGCGACGCCGCGUGAGGGAUGAAGGCCUUCGGGUUGUAAACCUCUUUCAGCAGGGACGAAGCGAAAGUGACGGUACCUGCAGAAGAAGCACCGGCCAACUACGUGCCAGCAGCCGCGGUAAUACGUAGGGUGCAAGCGUUGUCCGGAAUUAUUGGGCGUAAAGAGCUCGUAGGCGGUUUGUCGCGUCGGCUGUGAAAACUCGGGGCUCAACCCCGAGCCUGCAGUCGAUACGGGCAAACUAGAGUGCGGUAGGGGAGACUGGAAUUCCUGGUGUAGCGGUGAAAUGCGCAGAUAUCAGGAGGAACACCGGCGGCGAAGGCGGGUCUCUGGGCCGUAACUGACGCUGAGGAGCGAAAGCGUGGGGAGCGAACAGGAUUAGAUACCCCCGUAGUCC
RNAcentral lists this ribosomal RNA (429 nucleotides) under uncultured bacterium. RNAcentral's name for it is "bacterial SSU rRNA". It matches the Rfam family "Bacterial small subunit ribosomal RNA", at positions 355 to 796 of the family's 1533-position model. The record is from RNAcentral.